This 457-nucleotide ribosomal RNA is filed under the name uncultured bacterium. RNAcentral's name for it is "bacterial SSU rRNA". It matches the Rfam family "Bacterial small subunit ribosomal RNA", at positions 29 to 531 of the family's 1533-position model. The record is from RNAcentral.
AACGAACGCUGGCGGCAGGCUUAACACAUGCAAGUCGAACGAGAUCUUCGGAUCUAGUGGCGCACGGGUGAGUAACGCGUGGGAAUCUACCUUGGAGUCUGGGAUAACAGUUGGAAACGACUGCUAAUACCGGAUACGCCCUUAGGGGGAAAGGUUUACUGCUCCGAGAUGAGCCCGCGUCCAAUUAGGUGGUUGGUGAGGUAAAGGCUCACCAAGCCGACGAUUGGUAGCUGGUCUGAGAGGAUGACCAGCCACACUGGGACUGAGACACGGCCCAGACUCCUACGGGAGGCAGCAGUGGGGAAUAUUGGACAAUGGGGGCAACCCUGAUCCAGCCAUGCCGCGUGAGUGAUGAAGGCCUUAGGGUUGUAAAGCUCUUUCGCCGGUGACGAUGAUGACGGUAACCGGAGAAGAAGCCCCGGCUAACUUCGUGCCAGCAGCCGCGGUAAUGUCAGUG